CUGCUAUUUACAUCUGGUUCUCUCCCUGUCUCUUUCCGCCUGUAUCGUUCUCUCUUUCCGCCAUCUUCAUUUUUUCACUCGUUUAAUGACUCCCCGUAUUUUUCACUUGUUCUCAGGGUUACUCGAAGUGAGAACCAGUCAAUACAUUUAAGGCCUGAGUAGCUGAACUUGGAACAGAGCUGACUUGUACAUAUUUUCCAGUCUAGAUAUUUUAGCCUCGAAUUUUAAAUGCACUUUGUAUUUCAGACAGAUCUCACGUUAGUAAAUAACCCUGUAUGUGUCUCAUCUAUUUUUAUCUCCAUUGCUCUCUGCUGAUACAAGGAAACAGCAACUAGUUACAGUUACAGAGUGACACUGUGUUUAGGUGCUCUCGGUAUCUGCUUGAAUGAUUCCAGGUAUGGC
Non-coding RNA from Pelobates cultripes (western spadefoot toad), 402 nucleotides. NCBI's taxonomy places the organism in Eukaryota, Metazoa, Chordata, Amphibia, Anura, Pelobatidae. The record is from the annotation of a GenBank genome assembly.